Molecule: long non-coding RNA, 1234 nt
Organism: Lotus japonicus
Lineage: Eukaryota; Viridiplantae; Streptophyta; Magnoliopsida; Fabales; Fabaceae
Exons: 2
Source: RefSeq, a predicted model, not a curated record
UUAUGUUAUUAUUAUUAUUAUUAUAAAAUAAGUGUCUUGCUCUGUAAUGUAACACUGGUUAGAUAUUUUACGUUACUUUUACAUUUAUGUUGAGAGGAUUUUAUAAUCUCUUCUUAUGGAAGUUGUUGAAUAAUUUUCUAAAUGAUGGCGAUGUCGUACUGUUGACGGCCGAAGUGCUUAUGAAAUUCAGUUCUGAGUAUGAUGAAUUUUAUUGGAAUAUCAUGGAAGAUAAACCUAUUUAAAUAAGUGAUUUUAUGCAUCUUAGGAUUAUCUGACUGGUUUAGAAAUUUCAUUGGCAGGAAUAAUUCAUUCUUUGAAAAGCAUAUGAACUUAUAAAUUUUCAAACACAAUCAGUGUUAAUUUUAAUGAGUUUUCGUGAAGAAGUGUAAUACUCCCUUGAUAUGUUUUUAAACUCUGAUAAACGUUUUUAAAUAAAACAAUGGGAAAAAGGGGGUGUUACAUUAGUGGUAUCAGAGCAUGGUCGGUUAGUAGACUAGGUUUAUCAGCAUGUUUAUUAACAUGUUUAAUUCCUUUUGUAUUCGAUAUGUGUCUAUGACACAAUCGAUAUUGUUUUGGUCAGUAGGAUAGAAGAAGUCCUACCCCGAGUUGUUCAUUUAAGGUAAUUUUCGAGGGCGAAAAUUCUUAAGUGGGGGAGAGUUGUAACACCCCACUUUUCGUUAUUAGGUUAUUUAUUAUUUUAUCUUAAUUAUUAUUAUGCUAUAUGGUAAUUUGAUGAAUUAUGUGAUUAUAAUUUAAAUCUCAUGUGAUAUAGAAUAAGAUUUAGAUAAAUAAGUUUGUUAGGUUUUUGUGUGAGUAAUUGAGAGUGGGGCCCAUUAGUAUGACUAUUUAAGGGAUAUGAGUGAAUUAGAAAGAGAGAAAUCAGAAUUUGAGAAUUGGAGAAGUUAGCAGAGGAGAAGAAAAGAAGCGUGAAAGAGAGAAGGGGAGAAAAGAGAAGAAAAAACCUAGAAUUUGAUCUUCAAGAGGUACAGGAGGUAGAGAUGUGGCUCAUGAGGAGUAGCUUCGGAGAGUCUUAGCUUAUGUUAUUAUUAUUAUUAUUAUAAAAUAAGUGUCUUGCUCUGUAAUGUAACACUGGUUAGAUAUUUUACGUUACUUUUACAUUUAUGUUGAGAGGAUUUUAUAAUCUCUUCUUAUGGAAGUUGUUGAAUAAUUUUCUAAAUGAUGGCGAUGUCGUACUGUUGACGGCCGAAGUGCUUAUGAAAUUCAGUUCUGAGUA